Molecule: ribosomal RNA, 860 nt
Filed under: uncultured archaeon
Lineage: Archaea
Description: SSU rRNA
Rfam family: Archaeal small subunit ribosomal RNA
Source: RNAcentral
UACCUGCAGCUCGAGUGGUGAUCACUAUUAUUGGGCCUAAAACGUCCGUAGCCGGUUUAAUAAAUGCCUGGGUAAAUUGUAUAGCUUAACUGUACGAAUUCCGGGUAGACUGAUAAACUUGAGACCGGGGGAAGUUAGAGGUACUCCUGGGGUAGAGGUGAAAUUCUGUAAUCCUAGGGGGACCACCGGUGGCGAAGGCGUCUGACUAAAACGGGUCUGACGGUGAGGGACGAAGCCCUGGGGCGCAAACGGGAUUAGAUACUCCGGUAGUCCAGGGUGUAAACGCUGCUUGCUUGAUGUUAGUCGGGCUUCGAGCCCGAUUAGUGUCGGAGAGAAGUUGUUAAGCAAGCUGCCUGGGAAGUACGGCCGCAAGACUGAAACUUAAAGGAAUUGGCGGGGGAGCACAGCAACGGGUGGAGCGUGCGGUUUAAUUGGAUUCAACGCCGGAAAGCUCACCGGAGGCGACGGUUACAUGAAGGCCAGGCUGAUGACCUUGCCAGAUUUUCCGAGAGGUGGUGCAUGGCCGCCGUCAGUUCGUACCGUAAGGCGUUCUGUUAAGUCAGACAACGAACGAGACCCUCAUCUUUAAUUGCUAUUGGCAAGUCCGCUUGUCAAGCACAUUAAAGAAACCGCUGGCGAUAAGUCAGAGGAAGGCGAGGGCAACGGUAGGUCAGUAUGCCCUGAAUCCUCCGGGCUACACGCGCGCUACAAAGGCUAGGACAAUGGGCUCGACACCGAAAGGUGAAGGUAAUCCCGAAACCUAGUUAAAGUUCGGAUCGAGGGUUGAAACUCACCCUCGUGAAGAUGGAAUCCGUAGUAAUCGCGUGUCAACAUCACGCGGUGAAUAUGCCCCUGCUCCU